UGCCAGCAGCCGCGGUAAUACGAAGGGACCUAGCGUAGUUCGGAAUUACUGGGCUUAAAGAGUUCGUAGGUGGUUGAAAAAGUUAGUGGCGAAAUCCCAGAGCUUAACUCUGGAACUGCCAUUAAAACUUUUCAGCUAGAGUAUGAUAGAGGAAAGCAGAAUUUCUAGUGUAGAGGUGAAAUUCGUAGAUAUUAGAAAGAAUACCAAUUGCGAAGGCAGUUCACUGGACCGUGAUCGACGCUGAGGAGCGAAAGCUAGGGGCACGAACCGGAUUAGAUA
This 279-nucleotide ribosomal RNA is filed under the name uncultured bacterium. RNAcentral describes it as "partial 16S ribosomal RNA". It matches the Rfam family "Bacterial small subunit ribosomal RNA", at positions 506 to 784 of the family's 1533-position model. The record is from RNAcentral.